UUUUAUGGAGAGUUUGAUCCUGGCUCAGGACGAACGCUGGCGGCGUGCUUAACACAUGCAAGUCGAACGGUAAGGCCCCUUCGGGGGUACACGAGUGGCGAACGGGUGAGUAACACGUGGGUAAUCUGCCCUGCACUUCGGGAUAAGCCUGGGAAACUGGGUCUAAUACCGGAUAU
RNAcentral lists this ribosomal RNA (176 nucleotides) under Dietzia sp. 111N12-1. RNAcentral describes it as "partial 16S ribosomal RNA". It matches the Rfam family "Bacterial small subunit ribosomal RNA", at positions 1 to 176 of the family's 1533-position model. The record is from RNAcentral. Lineage: Bacteria; Bacillati; Actinomycetota; Actinomycetes; Mycobacteriales; Dietziaceae.